GUCUACAGCCAUGCCACCCUGAACUCGCCUGAUCCUGUCUGAUCUCAGAAGCUAAGCAGGGUUGGGCCUGGUUAGUACUUGAAUGAGAGACCACCUAGGAAUACCAGGUGCUGUAGGUG
RNAcentral lists this ribosomal RNA (119 nucleotides) under Pteropus alecto (black flying fox). RNAcentral also lists the same sequence under 1 other name. The record is from RNAcentral. Lineage: Eukaryota; Metazoa; Chordata; Mammalia; Chiroptera; Pteropodidae.